AUUGAACGCUGGCGGAAUGCUUUACACAUGCAAGUCGAGCGGCAGCGCGGGGCAACCUGGCGGCGAGCGGCGAACGGGUGAGUAAUACAUCGGAACGUACCCAGUUGUGGGGGAUAGCCCGGCGAAAGCCGGAUUAAUACCGCAUACGACCUGAGGGUGAAAGUGGGGGAUCGCAAGGCCUCACGCAGUUGGAGCGGCCGAUGGCGGAUUAGCUAGUUGGUAGGGUAAAGGCCUACCAAGGCGACGAUCCGUAGCGGGUCUGAGAGGACGACCCGCCACACUGGAACUGAGACACGGUCCAGACUCCUACGGGAGGCAGCAGUGGGGAAUUUUGGACAAUGGGGGCAACCCUGAUCCAGCCAUUCCGCGUGAGUGAAGAAGGCCUUCGGGUUGUAAAGCUCUUUCGGCAGGAACGAAACGGUGGGCUCUAACAUAGCCUGCUAAUGACGGUACCUGAAGAAGAAGCACCGGCUAACUACGUGCCAGCCGCCGCCGUAA
RNAcentral lists this ribosomal RNA (498 nucleotides) under uncultured bacterium. RNAcentral describes it as "partial 16S ribosomal RNA". It matches the Rfam family "Bacterial small subunit ribosomal RNA", at positions 29 to 523 of the family's 1533-position model. The record is from RNAcentral.